AAGUCUUGACAUCCUUUGACCACUCUAGAGAUAGAGCUUUCCCUUCGGGGACAAAGUGACAGGUGGUGCAUGGUU
RNAcentral lists this ribosomal RNA (75 nucleotides) under uncultured Aerococcus sp. RNAcentral's name for it is "partial 16S ribosomal RNA". Lineage: Bacteria; Bacillati; Bacillota; Bacilli; Lactobacillales; Aerococcaceae. The record is from RNAcentral. RNAcentral also lists the same sequence under 1 other name.